Rhincodon typus (whale shark) is the source of this 469-nucleotide long non-coding RNA. RefSeq lists it as uncharacterized. The transcript is spliced from 2 exons. Lineage: Eukaryota; Metazoa; Chordata; Chondrichthyes; Orectolobiformes; Rhincodontidae. The record is from RefSeq and is a predicted model, not a curated record.
UGGCGGUUGGUUUUGGCGGGAGGAGAGGCGGCCUCAGGUUUGUCGAGCGGGACUGAUCAUGUCUUACACUCAGGACACGGCGAUCAUCCGGCCGCAGGAAAUUCAAAUUUCAUCAACUGCCAUGGUGAGAUUCAAGACCAUGUCCCAGAGCAUUAGUUUGGGCCUCUGGAACACAACUCCAGUGAUAUUACAACCAAGUUGCUAACUUAUUCAAGCUUAAAACUCACUGACUGAUGUGCCAGAAAUAAAGGCCUACAGAAGUAGCAAUGGACUGAAAAUAUAUCAGAGAAAGAGUAUCCUGGCUGACUGAAUGCAGUGUACUGGAAGGGAAGAGAGAAUGCCGGAGAGAACUGAGGAAACUGAAUAAUCUUUCGAGGUCAACACAGUAAAUGAAGAUUUUUAAUAUCUGAAUGUUUGCAGAAUUCAAUUUUUGUUGUAAAUCUUAAUAGAAAUAAAGCUGAUCCACUAA